UUGCACCCAUUUCCACUCUCAGCACCAAAGUUCAACUCAGUACCCUCAUAGGACCUGCAAAAACCACACCAGCUCUCAAUUUUUUGUACAAUCAAGAAUCUAACUUCGAUUUGGCUGCGUAAAUAGAAUUUCUCCGAACUUGAUUAGGGUCUCAAAUUCAAACUCAAAAUGAUUGUGAUUCUUACAUCUUAGGAGGUGCAACUCCUGCGAUGAGAGUCUCAGUUCUGGUGUUCUCUGAGAUGUCAGGGUACAUGCCACAGCUGCAAGAAUUCAAGAAGAUGAGGGAAGAAAGAUUAAAGAGAAACUCUUAGGAAGUUUGUUUGGUGCAUGAGAAACAAUUUUCCAAGAAAAAGAAACUCUUACCCGUUGCAGCCGCUGCCGCACUUGCAUCCAGAGCCACAGCCACAGUUUCCUCCGCAGCAAGACAUUUUCUUUAGGGAUUUGGAAGAGGCUUAUCACUUGACAAUUGAAUUCUUCAACUAUAGGAUGAUUCAUAAGGCCCUUGCCUCAGCUCGAAUUUAUCGCGCGGUUGGAGCUGAAAGUCUUUCAUAUCCACCAUACACGUGGAAACAUCUAACGUCAGUAACGUCUGUGUGGCAGGUUCUAUCUCCCCUAGGUAAGAACCGACAAAUCUCUCUCUCUUUGUCUCUCUAACCUUUCUUUCUUUGUCAUCACAAAUCAUAAUAUUUGAAAUAUAUUAAUUAUCUUGCUUAUGACGUGUACGAUAAUUGGUUAGUUUUUUUAUUAAAUCAAUUAAUUGGCUUCUUCUAAACAAAAUCUUAACACCUCUAGUGUUUGAACAAAAUAAAAAAAAUGAUUUCUUUUAUAAUUUUUAAUUUAUAUUAAUAUGCUUGGUAACCCUUCAAAUUGAAUAGAUAAUAUAAUUAAACCGAAUCGAACAUUUAGAAAUAAAAUUAACAACAAAUAGAAAUUAAUUUAGGGUCAAGGAAUUAAUGCUUACUAAAAAAGAAGUAUUACUUGUUUUAAAAAAAAAAGGGUAUUAUUUUUUUCCAGUAGACAAAGUUGUCUGAAUCACAGAGAAAAGGAUGCAAUUAUUUUCUACAAGGAUUAUUAUCACUUUCAUGGAAGAAAUCAAGAGAACAAGUUAAAUUGAAGCCGACAAUUAGAAUAUAUUAUUAUUUUUGGUAACGUAGAACCAUUUUAAAAAUAAGUAAAUACUUUUUCAAUUGAAAUAAGAAAAAAAUAAAAAUAUGUAUGAAGGAUGUAAACGUCAGCUAGAUAUUAAGGCAUGAAUCUUGCAGCUUUGUACAUUAGCAAUUCACUCGCUUGAAUGUAUCAUUUCAUCUUUAACAUUGGCUUUUUAUAAUUCUGGGAUAUAGAUCCUUUUUUUUAAAUUAAAUAUAAAGAAUGCAAAUUAUUACCUUUUUUUUCUAGUUAAUCAUGUUAUGUUGUUUUUAUUUAUUUGAAUGUAAUGAAAAGCAUGCAGUUCUAAACUAGAAUGAAACAAUAGAAUUUUUGACAAGGAAAGUGGGAGAGAGUUACCCUACCCUACUGCUACAAAGAAAGAAGGAUAAAAUCAUAAUGAAAUGGGCAGAGAAUAAGAGGCUUUUGCUUUGGGAAUCCUUCACUUUUGUAGCAAAAAGAGUGGUGCAUGUGAUAUAGCUUUGGUGCUUCAGUUGCAGUGCUAUUUUCUUCAAUCAGAUACCCUGUCUUUAUAUCUAUGUCUAUGUAUAUAUUUUUUUACAAAAAAACUGCCUUUUUCUUCCCAAGCCCAAUGCACUUUUCUUAUCUUCUUUUAUUUGUUUAACAUUUAGGACCUUCAGUUCCUUUUCAGAAGAUCUGUUUCGGCAUUUUGCGACUUGUGCAUGCUGCAGCUGCGGGGGUCCUAAAUGUCUUAAAUGAGCUAAAGACAUGCUUAGAAGCUAAAACUACAACUAUUAGUAGAGCUACAGCCUAAUUUUCAUGGACAGUACACAACUCCACUUUGGUGGGCAUUGAAUUUCCUGUAUCCUUUGAAUGUGUGAAUUCUUCUCUUCCUAACUUCAACAUCUUGUCUACCUUCCUUUUUUUUUCCCUCGUCAAUGAGGGGAUUAUUUUAUUUACUAGCUAUUUAUUGCGUGUUCCCACUAGCUUCAUAAUUCAUCAUUAUUUUGAUCCUCAAAUUCAAAAAGUACCUGUAUUGAAGUAUGAAGAUAGAAGAUAGGAUCUUCCAUAUCUGGGUACAAGCUCCAUCGUUUAGAUAAGGGACUCAUGACAAAACCCACUAUUGUUGAUUUUUCUGCCGCAUUUGUUUUAUGCAAUUCACAUGCAUCAUGCAUGCCCAUCUGAUUUUGGACCACAUACCAGGACAAAAAGAAGUGCAUGAUAGGAAUAGUAGCUCAAGAGAGCUGCCACCAUUGAAUUGGGUCUUUACUCUCACCCAUGGGAAUAUUUAUGAAUGACCUACAUAUAAUGAUUGUGACGAGAGAGGGAGUUUAUCUUUAAAAUAGGACCAUGAUAGUCAACAAAAUAGUGAAUGAGCUUCAUGCUUGAGGUCCUAAGGUAUUAAAAUCCCACUGAUUUUUUUUUUCUAAGACAUUUGAAUCCCAUUUCAUGCAUUAGUGGGGCAUUCUAUCUACUGUCAGGUCUGAUGCUGCUGAGAAGGUUUGGCCGGUAAGAAGCUUAAGAUUAGAUAGAUGUUAUGCUGACGUGCAUAUCAGAUUUCCAUGAUUGAGAUGCGGGAAAUGGGUUGAAAGGACACAGGACUCAAAUGCGGACAACCGGUGGUAGUAGGUAACUCCAACAAGAUUGAUCUCAAUUAGAUAUUAUGGGGCCAGCAGUUAAAUAAAUCAUACAAAGAAACAUGUCAGUUACAUCUGAAAUUUCUAAAAUUCUUGACAAGGAGCACCCAUUGCCGAGGCACCUUCAAUAGCCAACUGCUUGUCCUGCAAUUCCUGCACAAGCUUAGUUUUCAAGGUGCCCCAGGUGCCAUAUGAAACUCGAUAUGCUGGGCAUAAAUUUUUUGUAAAACCUAUCAUAAACAGAACUAGUAUUCCUAUCAAAUUUGUCAUGAACAGUCGAUUUUAACUAAACCAAGUCUCUGCAAUUUCACACUAUCCAUAAGCAUCCUAAGACCAGCUUUUAGUUCUGGUACCCCUUCCUCCAAGACGGCACAAACUGGAUAUAUAGGAACAUCUUGAACUCUUCUUUUCAAUUCUUCAUAUACUUCAUCAGCCCCUGCCUCAUCAAUUUUAUUCGCCACAACUAAGGAGGGCCGAUCAGACAGGCCCUCUUGAUGAUGCUCAAGCUCCAAAACUAAAUCUUUCAAUUGUUCCCACGGUGGAAAUCCCUUUCUGCCAUCUAAUCCAGCAGCCAAGUCUAGCACAUAAGCUAAAACCUUAGUACGUUCAAUGUGCCGUAGGAAAGCAUGUCCAAGUCCACGAUUCUCGUGAGCACCUUUUAUGAGUCCUGGAAUGUCAGCCACUGUGAUUGAGAAGUCAUCAAAAUUCAGUUUUCCUAAAUUUGGCCUAAGUGUCGUGAAGGCAUAAUGACCCACCCUAGGUUUUGCUCUGGAUAAAGCUCCUAAAAGAGUACUUUUACCAGCAUUUGGCAUUCCAACGAGGCCCACAUCAGCAAUGCUUUUCAGUUCCAGCAAAAGAACAGCCUCUGAGCCAGGCAACCCAAUGCUAAGGCAGGAUUGAUCCUCACUGACAUAUCAGGAUCCAAGACCAUAUCCCUAUUGACUCCAGGCUUACUUAACUUGGCCUUCUUUGAAACAUCAGGAGAAGACACAUUACCCAAACCACCCUCCCCUCCACGAGCAACAAUUAUUUGCUGACCCAGUUUUGUUAACUCUGCAACAUCAUAGUGUAUAUGUUCCACACCUGCUGGCUCUCUUUGAAUGGCUUGUAUGCUUGCAAAUUCCUCUGAAGUUCCUUUAGCUUGUGUUAAUGAGCCACCAGAAAUAUCCGAUGGCUCAGCUUCUUUUUCCAUGUUUGUGCUCUUAGAGACAGACUGCCAGUGAGAUUCUGAUUGAUCAGUAUGGAGAGUGCCUGGAAGUUCCCACGGGUCCAAGUCUGUUUUGGAACAGUUUUGGACUGUAGAUGGAAGUUCACCCUUCAAAAGAUGAAUUACAGUCCCGAUAGGUACUUGCACAACCUACUACACACGAGUACUCAUGGUUAGAUAAACUGCCAAACAACAGGUGGCAUCAUAAAAUCUUGCCGUUUAUAGAACUUAUAAAUAGUAACCUUAUCCUCCCCUCGAGUUCCUAUCAUACUCUUUGAAGCUCCAUUCCCCCCUCUCGCUGCAUUCUAUACAAUAAAGGCAGAACUUGAGUGUCCUCAUGCAAUAAUACUAGUAGAGUUGAAAAAAUACUGGAAAGGUAAGGACUACAUACAACAUGAUGGUGUAAACCACUCAAGUCCCAGAUUGCAGGGGAACACUCUAAAAUCACAUCACCACCUCUUCCACCUGUAUUAUUGAAUCCACAUGAACCAGAAUGCUACCAGAAAGACUAUUUCACAAAUUUUAAUGCACUUGCUCGUAAACACCAUGCAAUAAUCAGCUAAAUUUAUGAAGUUCAACGGAAAUAAUGACGAUGAAAGGGAAAAAAUUGAACCCAGUAUGAAGAUUGAGAAACUAGAUAAAUUAUGAUUAAAGAAAAAUAACCAUAAUAAUAUUGUAUCCACUUGGUUUUUAGUAUCACAUCUAGCAUACUUAAUGCUGUUAUAAAACUUGAUCUAAUAAACAUACCAUCAGGUCUGCCGGGGAUCAUGUUGACUUCGGCGAAAACUGGAGCAACCCUUUCCACCAUCACCUCCCUUAGCAUGUAGUGUAAACCUAUCUCUCAUUCUGGUUUCCUACAAAUAGCACCCUAAUAACCCUUUACUAAGAUGAACAAGUAGUAAAAAAAUCAAGAAAUGAUUACACAGAAUUAUGUGAAGCUAUUAGGGUUAUAAAAAUGUGAGAAAUAGGGAAGAAACAAAUAGAUUGGCAGACCUGCAAAGGGGCACACUUUGCUUUUGUGUGAGUAGCGUCUGAACAAGAGAACAAAGACAAAUAGAUCCAUGGAGAUUUAGAAGAUUUUCUCAAGGCAUCUAUGUGGCAAAAGGAUUUUGCGCAGCGUAACCGCAUAACUCUCUUUUUCCUGUCUAGAUAUCCUUCAAAUCCUCCUCAAAUGGAAAAAGUUCGCAUUCAAUUUUUUGCUUAUCUCUGCAACCUAUAGAAAGAAAUAUCUUAGAUACUGAUACAGCAACAGAGACAUUCCUGGAAAAUUGUAAACCAAACCAUGCCACAAUGCAGAUGCUGAACAUGACCCAUACAAGAUAACUAAAGAAAUUGAUAUUUACAGCACUUCACAGCCAGUUCCAACGAAAAGAAUCCGCCUUCCUUUAUUAUAACAUGUCCAGAUAAUCAUAAAAACAAAAUAAGUAUCACUUUUAACAAUCACAUUUACCAAAAUUUGCUAAAUUGUCAGUUGCAAGCAAAGUAAAAGCUUUAUUAAGCCCAACAACUUGUGCCAUAAACAGACCAACAACUGAAACAAUAUGCUAGAAAGGAAUUUGAGAUAACCAAAUAAAAGAUGAAAUAUUCAGGAAUGAGCACAUACAGGCAUCUAAAGGAAACAGACAUUCAAAACAUUCAUCAAAUCAAUAAUCAACAAGAAAAUUGAAUUUUAACAACAAAGAGAGUGGAGAAGGCUAAUAUGGUGUAUUUAACACAAAAUGAAAGAAACUAAAAGACCAAAUUGAUUGAACUUAUAUUCAUCUAAGACCCUUGAAUAAAACUUUCUUUCAGUUUACGGAAAAAAAAAAUUGUUUAGUGAUAAUGAAAACUAAUGGAGUCAAAGGAAAAUGUCCAUUGUUAAAAGAAUUGAACCCAUUCAUAGGAUUCCUCACCAGGCCUUGCAAGGAGUCUCCUUGGCCAUGGUUCUAACAUUAAUGACCAUUCUAAUGCCACCAAUGAGCUUUGGUUUGAUAUUAGGGUCAUCAGCUUGAACCAUUAAAAAAAAGGAACAAAGAAAUAACCAUUCUAAUGUUGUAGGGGGCCAGGGAUUUUAUGGUUACUGUUAGGAUCCCGUGUAGGAUGUAGUUGUGGGUUGUGUGACGAGUCUUUUGGCAAGAUAGGAGAAAACAAGGAUGGAUUUUCUUUUUGCGAUCUAUUUUGAAAAGCUGUCAGGCUUAUCAGGGAGAACAUGCAACCUCUUGAGUUUAAAGUACUCAAAGACCUUUUUGAAAUUUUUUUAGCUAACGUUUAUUAACCUGCUGUCAAUUUAAAUACAAGUUGGAGUUUUAACUCUCUCCUAAAAAAUAAGAACUUAAAAUAGCAUAAUAGAAGCUAACCUCGUACAAAUCAGAAUUUGAAAAUAACUAAAAAAAAUAUGGAAAUAACUAAAUAACUAAACAAAAUAUGCUGGUAACAUCAUAAGACCCAUGAUCUUAGCCACUAUCCAUUACUAUGCAUAAACUCAUAAUCUAUGCCACUAUCCAUUGUUGAAUAACUAUCCAUUAUUGCAUCAAUGACGAAGAAUCUAUUGGAAUGGUGGUUUGCUAACAUUAGUCCCCUCUUCCACUAUGCACUUGUCUUCAAGCGCAAGCUUAGGAAAUUUCUAGGAACUAUUUAGCCAGUGGCUGGUCUAUUGUGACAUCUCCUGGGUCAUCAUCUGCUAACUCCAACUAACUCCAACCAGAAUAGUUUUUUGCACCAGUUUUUGAAAUAUUCCCAUGUCAAGUUCGGAUAGUCUUGUAACAAUUGUAGGAACUAUAGUUGUGUUAUACCCUCCAAGUGAAAUGAAGCUAGAUUAACCUUCUUCUCUUUUGAAGUUUGUUAAUGUUGGAAAAAUUGAUCAUAUCUGUUGAGCCACCCUAAAGGAUCCUCCCGUCCAUUGAAACGGGUAAAUUUUGAAACAAUGGUACUUCUACUUGAAUUUUCAGAACCUAUUACUCCUUUGGCCUUUUGGGUGCGAGAGUGACUACCAAUUUUUGUGAGUUGUGCUGAAUUGACGAUAUCACAAGUGAGAGCUUCUAAUUUUUAAUUUAAUUCAUCAUGCCAGGCCUUAUUGGCGGCUUGCUCUUCUAAGAACAAGGUGAGAAUUCUGCCAAAUUGUUGCUGGAUAGAAUCCCCAUAAUCUCUAGCUCUGAUACCAAAUUGUUAGGAUCCCGUGUGUAGAAUCUAGUUAUAGGUUUGUAUAAUGAGUCUUUUAGCAAGAUAGGAGAAAGCAAGGAUAGAUUCUCUUUUUACAAUCUAUUUUGAAAAGUUGUCAAGCUCGUCUGAGAGAACCUGUAACCUCUUCAGUUUAAAGUACUAAAAGACUUUUUGAAAAUUUUUCUAACUGACGUUUAUUAAUAUGCUAUCAACUUCAAUACAAGUUGGAGUUUUAACUACAUCCUAACAAAUAGAAACUUAAAAUAGCACAAUGGAGACUAACCUCCUACAAAUCAGCAUUUGAAAAUAAAUAAACAAAACAUAGUGGUAACGUCAUAAAACCCGUGUUCUUAGCCACUACAUAUUACUAAUGCAUAAAUACAUAAUCUACGCCACUACCCACUACUGAAUAACUAUCCACUGAUGCAAACUACCCAUUGUUGCAUCAGUGACGAAGAAUCUGUUGAAUUGGUGGUUUGCUAAUAGUUACCUACUGAAAUUCAAGCAUUUUUUUAAUGGCACAACAAUAUUCUUCCACCUUCUUCGAAACGAAGGGAUGGAAAGGAAUUCAUCAGGAUGAUUGAAAGACAAUUAUCAACGUUGAUACAAUACUGAGAGAUACUUCUGGCUUGACUUUUAGCAGCUGAACAGCACACAAGAGACAGAAAUGUUGUCGUAUUAUUGUAAACAAGUUCAAUGCCGUCCCUGAAUCAAUUCCAGAUUGGGUAUUUGAUUUAUGACUAUGAAAGGUGGAUAUUUCAUUGCGAAUUAGCAAGAAUGGGUUUUAGAUGGUUUGCUUUCGAUAAUUGUGUUUGCCAUAUUAUCUUCACUUGGAACUCAAGAGUCAAUCCAUAGCCAAUACAGGUGAGCAGUGCUCAGUUCAGUCCAGACUAAAAAUGAGUAAAAAGCUGAAUCUAAUAGGAAAUAAAAUCAAACCGAACAAAGAGAAAAAAUGAUCUCAACUGGUUUAGUUUGGUUUGGUUCAUCUGUUUUACUUUUUCUUAUCUAUUUGCAGAACCCAUUUUCCUUUAGAAAAGGAAAAAAAUUAUACAAUACUCCCUGUACACUAAAAAUUAGUACUCAUCCUCAUAAAAAAUUAGUUAUUCCUAAAAUAAAAAAAGUGCCCUUAUACAAUUGUGCUUGUGCAGCUGGAGCUGCUAAUAAUCUCUCUUAGAGAAGAUCCAAGCAACAAGAGAGCAGCAAUUUCAGCUUUCAACUUAAACAUAGAAUAUUGUGUAUGUCUAGUUCUAACAAACAGAGCAUGUCAGAUACUAUAGUUGUACACAUAAACGGCAAUCCAUCUUGUCAUUUUGAUUACGAUAUUUGAAUUUUUACAAGGAAAACAAACAAAACACAACGAAAAUCAAAACCGAAACAGCAGAACCUCAGCUCAAUAUCGCACACAAGACUCGAAGCGCAAAGAAAACUUGAGAAAUGAUUCAGAAAAUUGAAAGAAAAUCUGGGUAGAGAAGUGAAGCAAAUGAGGGAAAGAGUGUUGACAUUUUAAAGAUGCUACAAAGGAAUUGAGUGAAACCAGGAACAGCAAAGGGUAAUGAUCGAUGAAACAACUGAACUUGGAGAGCCACAGACAGAAAAUAUGAACACUGGAGCUGCUUGUGUCGUUGAUGGAGGUAGUCGAGUUCAGAGGCCGUACAAGUGGUCCUUCGAGAGAAGAUAUUGAGAAAGGGAAGGAGAAUUGUUUGAUUAUAUAUUCUCACUUCGUCACCAAGAAAAACAAACUAUCAGUAUAUAGAAAUGUAAGUUUGUUUCAUCAUCUAUCAAAGCAAAUCAAAGUAAAAGUACCUUUCUUUGGAGAAAGUAAUUGGAACAUAAAUAGACAUCUAAAACUCAGUUUUAUUUCCAUAUCCUCAGAAACCGGCUCAUCUAAUUAAUUCACUUAAACAAUUAAACAAACCCCUAAUAUAUUUAGAAGAAGAGAAAGACAAAGAAACCUCAAGCGCGCGUUUGUUCAAUUUGAGCUUCCUCAAGCUGUUAAUGGCGUGAAAAAUGUCACCUCGAUAAAUUGGAAAGCCUUCGCGCAUCCAGCUUUGAUAGGCUAAACCAACCGAUUCUCCUCUAGCAAGCUUCUCAAUUCUCAAAGAUAAGCUCUUGGGUGCUUCUUGUUCUUCUGGUUCUAAUAUCUUCUUCUCGGGCGAACAAUUGCUAGUGUAGGUACAGAGAAAAUCGAAAUUGCGAGGAAUUUGGUAGAGAGGCGGACAACUGAUAGAAAGUGUUCGAUGAAUUGCUUGACAGAACCAGCGUCGGCCCAGAACGGCCAGCGCACGCAUGCUUCUUGUCCUUUUCGGGACCUGAAAGCGCGCUUACGCAAAAGAGCCAGAGAUCUUAUUUGAAAAAAGAUGCCGCCACAUGCAAAUGCUAAGAGCCCAAAGUCUUGCCCAGAAGAGAAACCAAAAUUGACGCUUAGCUGCCUACAAUCCAGCCCAGAAGAGAAACCGAAAUUGAAGCUUAGCUGCCUACAAUCCAGCCCAAGUCCUUUUCUGGGAUAUUUUGUCCACGCCAUUAAUAUUUAUAUAAAUUAUUGAAAAUUAAUAUAUGGAUGCAAAGUUCAAUGGAAAUUUGGAAUUGCAUUCUGCUCCCUAAAUUUCAUUGUGGAUAGACAAUUUUUAUUUAUCCAUGAAUCACAAAUGGGUUUGAUAUUUAUUCUCAAAUUUCUUAACAUUUAAAUAUCAAAUUUGAGAUACUAUAAGCACUAAUUAUCUUGUUUUUUUUCUUUGUGAUAGUGAUGAAGAAUAAUAAUGCAAUCAAAACAGAAUCGUAUGCCAUCUUUUCCUUUUUGUAUGGACGUAAACCACAGAAAAUCAUUUUUUAUAUUGUUUCUCCAAGUCCUUUUAUUUAUUACAUUUCAGGUAAUUAAUUAGAAAAAUAUCAUCAAUGAAAUUUAAACUCUAAAAUUUUAAUUAUCAUCAUUGAUUAAACUCUAUUUGACAAUACUAAUUGAUAUAAUAAUUGUUAUUGUCAAUAUAAUUAUUUAGAUAAUAGUUAAUCAAAUAUUAGAAUAAAUAAAUUUUCACAAUUCAGUUUCUUAAUCACUGAUUAUUAAAUAUUAUUUUGAAAAUUAUCACCGAGCAAACGCUUGGAGUUGUACAAUGUGGUGUGUAGGAUACAUGAUUGGUUUUGUAAUUAAUCAACUCAACAAGGGAAGAUAAACUAAUGGGUAAAAAGGUCAUCAUUAAUUCCAAGAUUGCCCUCUGCUGAACAAAGCCAAAGAAUAAAAAUAUAAAAAAGUAGGUUGAUGUAAUGUAAAGUGGAAAAGAAAUUGCAUCGCUUUGUAAUCAAGAUUACAAUGACAAAGAAAAAUGAAUUAGUGGCCACAUUGGAUUAGUAGAAUUUAGGUCAAAUCUAAUUAAUGGCCAACUAAUUUUUUUUUAAAAAAAAAAAAAAAUCAAGAACCCUUGCCAAAAAAGCUUUCUGUAGUAGUCCUUCAUGAUUGCUCUUUUUAUAGGUUCAUGUUGCCCCCUUUCCCCAACUCAGUCCAAAAUUUUCUGCUCCUGUAGUUCAACCUAAAAUUUCUAUUUAUCCACCCUUUUUUUCAUUCAUUUAUUUUAAUACUCUAUUUUUUUUCGUUUCUCAUUUUAUUUAAUAAUUAUAAUUGAGAAUUUCAUUUAUGGGAUUUAUUGAUAAAAAAAUUUAAUAAAAACUUUUUAACUUGUAUGUUUUUUGGGUAAUGUUGUGCCUGUGCGAAUUGUGAAUUUAACUUUUCAUGAAAUUUUAUGUUAUUACAUUCUGUGGCUAUGUGUGCAUGUUAUUAAUAAACUUUAUAUAAAAAUUAAGAAAAUAAAUUAAUUUCAAGUUUCAACUUCAAUACAAAGUGAUAUUGAAAGUGAUAAUCGAUCAUUCAUCAGGAAAGGAAAAAGGAAUUUAUCCGUUAACAUUAAUAUCUGGCUCUAUAUAUCAUCGUGAAUUAAUAUGUAGGCAAUGAUUUGGAUUUGUUUAUCUAGUUUGAUAAUAUAUAUAUCUUGCAAAUAAAAAAAAAUCCCUGUGAACUACUUCCAAAAUUUAAACUCUAGAUAGGAGUAAAUGCAGUGCCAACUUAACUGAUUUUGGAGUGUUUGAAAUAUUGGGUAAAACAAUAAAACCUGAAUCGUGUUGAACACUGUCUUUAAAGAUUUAUUUUAUGAUCCCCCAGGAUUAAACAAGUUCUUCUGAAAUAUACUUCUCAGGAUUAGAACAACAAGAAUUUAUCUCGAAUUUAUAACCCAGCAGGUAACAUAGAGAAAAUAAAUAAUAAAGAAGAAAAUUGGGAGUUUAUAUCUUUGUAAAGAGGAACACUAUUUAUUGUGGAAAACUUGACCGCUAUAUAUGGUUAUAAGAAUCUUGAAAUAAAAUCAUAACGGUUAUAUUUAAUAUUAUAUUUAAAUCUCAUAAAUAAAAUAUUUAAUGACCAUAAAAUCUUUAAUUACCAUAAAAUAUUUAACGACCAUAAAAUCUUUAAUUACCAUAAAAUCUCUAAUGACUAUAAAAUCUUUAAUAACUAUAAAAUCUUUUUGAAAUCUAAACUAAUUUUACAACAAUCCCCCACAGAUUUCAAAAGAUUUUCAUUGCUGGAUUUAGAAAUUUAGAGUGUAUGUUUCGAAUCUGGUGUCUUUUAUACUAUGAACCAGACCUAAAUUAAUAAUACUUAAUAUACAGAGUAAUUGGUGAAACUUUUGUUUCUAUGUACCAAAACUCUUUUUUAUAUGUUAAUUUCUCAUCAAUCUCAUAAUACUCCACAGAUCUUGUUGUCAACGCCGUUUUGCACUAAUAGGCCAUGCGCGCGCCUGGUAAUUCAUAAGUGCUCUAGAGAUUAUGCCACAAUCUCAUAGAAGCGGCCCCACUCCACACUUAUAUAGGUGAUAUCAUCAAGUGUAUACUGCAAUUUAUACACCACCCACAAGGGAUAUGAAUAUCAUUAAAAGAUUUCAUCUCAUCCUCUCAUUAAUGCAGUCUAGUACUUCUCACACCAUAGAAAGGGACAACAAUAAAUAGUGCUAUCAGAAUUAGAAGGUGAUUUGUUAUUACCCAUAUGAACCUUUUUCAUGGGAUCUCUAAUCGCAAAGGUUGGGUUACCAUCACUGUUAAUUUCAAACUGGCUUAGGUCCCAUUCCUCUCGAUGUUUCAUCUAUUAGUUUUCUCUCUAAAGAUUUAGUCAGAGAAUUGGCCAAAUUCACUUCUGACUUCACAUAAUCAAUGAAAAUAGUUCCAUCUUUCAGUAACUGCUUAACAACAUUAUGUCUCAGACGAAUAUGUUUAUUCUUACCAUUGAAAGUUUUAUUCUUUGCAAUGGCUAUUGCCGCUUGACAAUCACAACGCAUUGAUAUAGAUGGUGUUGAUAAAAAAUUCACUAAAUGCAACAAACUCCCAAUGAUCUAUGCAUAUUCAGACUCCAAUUUUCUUUAAUUGACAAUUAGGAUCAUAAGGGGUAGUUACUGGUUUAACAUUGAAAUGUCCAAACUUCCUUAGAAGCUUCUCAACAUAAUGCUCUUAUGAUAGCAUUGGACUAUCAUUCUUCCUUACGAUUCUAACUCUCAAAAUCACAUUUGUCUAUCCCACAUCUUUCAUAUCAAAUUUAGAGGCAAUGAAAGUUUUUGAUUUACAACUAUAUCAUAAUUUGUACCAAAAGUAAAUGCAUAUGAACAAAUAAUCACAGAUUCAUAAUUUAUACGUUCUGUAUAUACGCACUUAUCAAUCAUUUAUACAUUUUGUAUAUACACACUUAUCAACUUCAACAGAGAUAAAACCAUCAUUCAACAAAACUUAAUCAAAUUUCUCAUGCCACUGUUUGGAAACUUGUUUUAAACCAUAUAAUGAUCUAAGAAGUUUGCAGACUUUAUUUUCUUAACAAAAAAUAAUACAAUCAUUAGGUUGAACCAUAUAAAUUUCUUCUUCCAAGUCUCCAUUUAAAAAUGUUUUAACAUCCAUUUGAUAAAUAACAAGUUUAUGCUUAAAACCUAAAGCAAUUAAUACUUUAAUAGAAGAGAUUAUGUUUCAGGAAGUUAAAACAAGUGUAUGUAUAGAAGCUAAAGCAAACUUAUGAACUUGAGUUUAUAGGUUUCAGCAUAACUUAUAAACAUGCAAUCAAAAGUUUUUGAACAUAUUUUUCAUUUCUUAGGAUCAGGAAGAAUUGCUUUAGCAAGACACCCCCACACUUUUAAAUAUUUUAAAUUAGGUGUAUAACCUUUCUAAAGUUCAUAGGGUAUUUUAUCGGUUUUCUUAUAGGGUAUCAUAGUUUGUAGAUAACAAGCAGAUAAUAAAACUUCCCCCAAAAGUUAUUAGGUGAAGAAUAACUUAUUAAUAAAACAUUCAUCAUUUCUUUUAAUAUUCUAAUUUUUCUUUCCACUACUCCAUUGGAUUCAAGUGAAUAGGGUGGAAUAAAUUCAUAUAUGUUUCAGGAAGCUAAAACAAGUGUAUGUAUAGAAGCUAAAGCAAACUUAUGAACUUGAGUUUAUAGGUUUCAGCAUAACUUAUAAACAUGCAAUCAAAAGUUUUUGAACAUAUUUUUCAUUUCUUAGGAUCAUGAAGAAUUGCUUUAGCAAGACACCCUCACACUUUUAAAUAUUUUAAAUUAGGUGUAUAACCUUUCUAAAGUUCAUAGGGUAUUUUAUCGGUUUUCUUAUAGGGUAUCAUAUUUUGUAGAUAACAAGCAGAUAAUAAAGCUUCCCCCAAAAGUUAUUAGGUGAAGAAUAACUUAUUAAUAAAGCAUUCAUCAUUUCUUUUAAUAUUCUAAUUUUUCUUUCCGCUACUCCAUUGGAUUCAAGUGAAUAGAGUGGAAUAAAUUCAUAAAUUAUUCCUUCUUUUUUCACAAAAGUCAUUAAAUAAGAUACAUUCUCCACCUCUAUAUGAUUUUUUUUUAAAUUUUAAUUUUCCUCUUUAAUUGAUUCUCUACUCCAACUUUACACAAUUGAAAUAUAUCAAAUGCUUCGUCUUUGUUUCUGAGCAAAUAUACUUUAGUAUAUCUAGAAUAGUCAUCAAUAAAAGUUACAUAAUAUAUAUAUAUAUUUUUUAUUAAUAUAAGAAGCACUAACAUGUCCUAAUCUAACAUGCCAUAAAUCAAAAGAAUCAAGCAAAAAAGCACAAGAUGAUGUAUUUCCAUUUAUUAUUGCAAAAAUAUUGAGAAUAAAGAGUCUCUGAUUACAAUAACAUUUUUCAAUAAAAAUAUCAUUUUUAGUCAGUAUAAUUUUGUCUAACUCAAAGGACACCUUAAUCUCAUCAUUUCUCAAUAGUGUUACAGAAAUUAAAUUAGCUCUCAUAUUGGAUACAUGAAGUACCUCAUUAAGUGCCAAUGUCUUGUCAGAUGUGAGUUUGAGAAAAACUUUCCCUUUACUAAGGACACUUGCAGUCCUAGACUCACCCAAAUACACAUGUUCUUUUCCUUCCCCCACUAUAAAGUAGGAGGUAAAUGCAUUUCUGUUUGUACAAAUAUGCCUAGUAGCACCAAAAUCUACUACCCAUUCUAGCACAUUAGCUACAAGAAAAGUUUGAGAAAUAACCGCAGCAACAAUGUCAUCUCCUUCAACUAAAUUCAUUUUUGGUUUAGGAGGAUUGUCAUUUAUCACUCUUUUCCUUUUAAAGAUGAGAUUAUUAAACUUGAGUUUAUAAUCAGAUUUCUUGUUUUCAUACCUGUUAUUUGAUUUGUGCACUUUUUCUUUGUACAAGAUUUGCUCUUGUAGCCAACAUCCUUAGCAGUAUAUUUCAAGUUCAUUGAAUCUCAUAUUUUUUCAUUGAAUCCCAUAUUUCAUUGAAUCUCAUAUUUUCUUGGCUUCCUUGUAGGAACAGUAGUUAUCAAAGAAAUGGUUAAAAAGAGUACUGAUAAUUGUAUACCUACAUACCUUAUUAGAAUAGACCCAUAUUUCAUGCAAUUUUGGAUCAACAGCAGGUACAUGUCUUGAUUCUCAAUUUUUGAGAUGUGAGGACAGUAGACAGAAGAGACCCACCAUUUGCAAAAGUAAGAAGCGUGGCGGCGGAAAGAACAACAGAAGUAGUGGUAGUUAUAAUGUCAUUGGAGUAGGCAGUGCAGAAGCAAAGGCAGUGACAACAUUUGAUUCCAUUUGUGUAAAGAUAAAUCCUUAAGAUUGUUGAAAAUAUUGGAUAAAACAAUAAAACCUGAGUCGUGUUGAACACUGUCCUUAAGAAUUUAUUUUGUAAUCCCCAAAAUUAAACAGGUUUUUCUGAAAUAUACUUUCCAAGAAUCAAGACAACAAAAAUUUAUCUGAUUUAUAAUCUAGCAGGUAACACAGAAAAAAAAAAUAAUAAAAAAAAAUUGAGAGUUUAUAUAUUUGUAAAGACGAAAAUUAUUUAUUAUGAAAAUUUAACCGCUAUAUAUGAUUAUAAAUAUUUUAAAAUAAAAUCAUAACGGUCAUAUUUAAUAUUAUAUUUAAAUUUCAUAAAUAAAAUAUUUAAUGAUAAUAAAAUUUUUAAUGAAUAUAAAAUAUUCAACAAUUAUAAAAUUUUUAAUUAUCUUAAAAUUUUGGACUAUCAUAAAAUCUUCUAAACUAAUUUGUUACUUCACGAGUUGGUAGACCAAAUCUAGAUUGUUUUUCAGUAGGUGUUUGGGAGACGUCAUCAUCACCUGCCUCCGGGGUUUCAAACUCAAGAUUGACAAAUAAACAGAGGUUUGCGCUUUUUUUGGGACUCAACCUAACAUGGGGAAGGGAGGAAAAUAGAAACCUGAUUAUCGGGGAUUCCACGCACUCUUCCGGUCAGUGGUAGGCAAGUUAGUUUAGAUGAAAUCAUAAUAAAAUCUUUAUCAUCAAAUCAAUAGCAUAAGUAGUUAUGAAACUCAACAAAUUGAAGUCGAUUAUAACAGAUAAUUAUAGAAAAGAACGAAAGAGGAGGUGGGAAAAGUAGAUCAUAUUUAAGUUAAAAGGAGUUAUAACCAUAGACAACAACACUAAUCGAGUUCCCCUUCCAAAAGUACACAGAAGACCAAGUUAAGACCAGCAAAGCAGAAACACUUAACACAUAAAACAAGCCAUUCAGGAAAUUAAAUCCUCAUACAAGGAUUUUGAUUACCUAUGGCUGUUUUAUUUACAGCAGCAAGCCGACAACUAUUUUACAUAUUCAUUAACAAACCCUUUUGCAUCCGUUUUUUUGGGGAUUUAUUAAAAACAUCAAGUACAGGCUUUGCUAGGUCCAUGUCCAUGCUGCUUUCUCAUUUGCAGUUGCAUGGAUCACAGCUGCAGCUUGAUCCACACUUGCACCCAUUUCCACUCUCAGCACCAAAGUUCAUCUCAGUACCCUCAUAGGACCUGCAAAAACCACACUAGCUCUCAAUUCUUUGUACAAUCAAGAAUCUAACUUCGAUUUAGCUGCGCAAAUAGAAUUAUAGAAUUUCUCCGAACUCAAUUAAGGUCUCAAAUUCAAACCCAAAAUGAUUGUGAGUCUUACAUCUUAGGAGGUGCAACUCCUGCGAUGAGAGUCUCAGUUCUGGUGUUCUCUGAGAUGUCAGGGUACAUGCCACAGCUGCAAGAAUUCAAGAAGAUGAGGAAAGAAAGAUUGGAGAGAAAAUCUUAGGAAGUUUGUUUGGUGUAUGAGAAACAAUUUUCCAAGAAAAAGAAACUCUUACCCGUUGCAGCCGCUGCCGCACUUGCAUCCAGAGCCACAGCCACAGUUUCCUCCGCAGCAAGACAUUUUCUUAGGGAUUUGGAAGAGGCUUAUCACUUGGCAAUUGAUUUC
RNAcentral lists this long non-coding RNA (16758 nucleotides) under Manihot esculenta (cassava). RNAcentral's name for it is "long non-coding RNA (MESC_LNC000578)". The record is from RNAcentral. Lineage: Eukaryota; Viridiplantae; Streptophyta; Magnoliopsida; Malpighiales; Euphorbiaceae.